GUCCAGGGAUGGGAAUCGAACCCACAAUGUUCCGCUUACCGGGCAGAUGUCCACUAGGCUACCCUGGA
RNAcentral lists this transfer RNA (68 nucleotides) under Cordylochernes scorpioides. RNAcentral describes it as "tRNA-Thr". The record is from RNAcentral. Lineage: Eukaryota; Metazoa; Arthropoda; Arachnida; Pseudoscorpiones; Chernetidae.